This 128-nucleotide non-coding RNA is filed under the name Notamacropus eugenii (tammar wallaby). The record is from RNAcentral. Lineage: Eukaryota; Metazoa; Chordata; Mammalia; Diprotodontia; Macropodidae.
GUCUUCUAUCAAAGGAGAGAAGGUUAGCACUCACCUUGAUAAGGAGAGAAGAGGUCCUAGUGGCUUUUAAAGCACAUAUAUGGUUAAGGCAUUGCUACCUAGUCUAUAGCAUCUAACCAUGUUUUUGU